This 1370-nucleotide ribosomal RNA is filed under the name uncultured bacterium. RNAcentral describes it as "partial 16S ribosomal RNA". It matches the Rfam family "Bacterial small subunit ribosomal RNA". The record is from RNAcentral.
AGAGUUUGAUCCUGGCUCAGGAUGAACGCUGACAGAAUGCUUAACACAUGCAAGUCUACUUGAAUUCACUUCGGUGAUAGUAAGGUGGCGGACGGGUGAGUAACACGUAAAGAACUUGCCUUGCAGUCUGGGACAACUAUUGGAAACGAUAGCUAAUACCGGAUAUUAUGCAUGAGUCGCAUGACUCAUGUAUGAAAGCUACAUGCGCUGCGAGAGAGCUUUGCGUCCCAUUAGCUAGUUGGUGAGGUAACGGCUCACCAAGGCCACGAUGGGUAGCCGGCCUGAGAGGGUGAACGGCCACAAGGGGACUGAGACACGGCCCUUACUCCUACGGGAGGCAGCAGUGGGGAAUAUUGGACAAUGGACCAAAAGUCUGAUCCAGCAAUUCUGUGUGCACGAUGACGGUCUUAGGAUUGUAAAGUGCUUUCAAUUGGGAAGAAAAAAAUGACGGUACCAAUAGAAGAAGCGACGGCUAAAUACGUGCCAGCAGCCGCGGUAAUACGUAUGUCGCAAGCGUUAUCCGGAUUUAUUGGGCGUAAAGCGCGUCUAGGUGGUUUGGUAAGUCUGAUGUGAAAAUGCGGGGCUCAACUCCGUAUUGCGUUGGAAACUGCCUAACUAGAGUAUCGGAGAGGUGGGCGGAACUACAAGUGUAGAGGUGAAAUUCGUAGAUAUUUGUAGGAAUGCCGAUAGAGAAGUCAGCUCACUGGACGAAUACUGACACUGAAGCGCGAAAGCAUGGGGAGCAAACAGGAUUAGAUACCCUGGUAGUCCAUGCUGUAAACGAUGAUUACUAAGCGUCGGGGGUCGAACCUCGGCACUCAAGCUAACGCGAUAAGUAAUCCACCUGGGGAGUACGUUCGCAAGAAUGAAACUCAAAGGAAUUGACGGGGACCCGCACAAGCGGUGGAGCAUGUGGUUUAAUUCGAAGCAACGCGAAGAACCUUACCAAGUCUUGACAUCCUUCUGACCGGCGCGUAACGGCGCCUUCUCUUCGGAGCAGGAGUGACAGGUGGUGCAUGGUUGUCGUCAGCUCGUGUCGUGAGAUGUUGGGUUAAGUCCCGCAACGAGCGCAACCCCUAUCAUUAGUAGCCAGCGGUCCGGCCGGGCACUCUGAGGAGACUGCCAGGGAUAACCUGGAGGAAGGUGGGGAUGACGUCAAAUCAUCAUGCCCCUUAUGAUUUGGGCUACACACGUGCUACAAUGGCGUAAACAAAGGGAAGCAGGAAGGCGACUUUGAGCAAAUCCCAAAAAUAACGUCCCAGUUCGGACUGCAGUCUGCAACUCGACUGCACGAAGCUGGAAUCGCUAGUAAUCGCGGAUCAGAAUGCCGCGGUGAAUACGUUCCCGGGUCUUGCACACACCGCCCGUCA